Molecule: ribosomal RNA, 462 nt
Filed under: Triticum aestivum (bread wheat)
Lineage: Eukaryota; Viridiplantae; Streptophyta; Magnoliopsida; Poales; Poaceae
Description: partial small subunit ribosomal RNA
Source: RNAcentral
AUGUCGUCCGUCACCUCCUCCGCAUCCACCAACUCCAACCCGUUCGCCGACGCCAACCCUCCCGACGUCAAUGACAUCCACAAUCUUAACAUCUUCGAGUGGGUGCCGGUUCGUCUCUCGCAGGUGGACUCCUCAUACUACACGUGGAAGACGUAUUUUUCCCUUGUGUUCCGGGAGUAUCACCUCAUCGACCACGUGGACGGCACCGUCGACUCCAGCCUCGUCCCCGAGUUCCAUGACUGGUCCACUAUCGACACCACGAUCAUCCGCUGGUUCUUCCUCACCAUCUCGCCAGACCUCUUCGAGAUGGUCGUGGCGGACGGUGACGAUGCCUGCGCCGUGUGGACCAAGUUGAACGGGCUCUUCACCGACAACCAGCUCCAGCGUCGUGUUUUUUGCAGCAAGAGUUUUUUGGGUGUCACCAGGACAACACCUCCGUCGACGACUACUGUCGCCGCCUGA